CGCUUCAAUUAGCCUGCCCGCUCAAAUCAUGCGCGAUGUGCUAGGCCCUGCCGCUGUUGCACGCUGCAACCACCGAGCUCAAUCCCCGCCGCCCACGGGCUCAGCCCCGGCCGCCGCGUCCCCGCCGCCCACGGGCUCAGCCCCGGCCGCCGCGGCGGGAUGCAACCGCCGAGUUGAGUCCCCGCCGCCCACGAGCUCAGCCCCGGCCGCCACCGACCGUCGUCCCGCGGCCCCCGUCUCAGCCCCGACCGCAGCGUCCCCGCCGCCCACUGGCUCCUCCCCGACCGCCGCGUUCCCUAGCAUUUAAUUUUCAUUUAACUUUUAUGAUGUUCGUAUCAAUAUUACAUGCUUGAAUCGUAUAGACAAAAUGAUAUAAUGAUGUGUUCUUCCAGAUAUAUGUCGGCCAUGGGAUCUCCUACAAAGUUUGGAGACAUUACUGUAGGACGACAAAAUUACAAAGUUUUUGGCCGGCUCAUACGGCUAUGGCAUACAAAAAAUAAAUAUGCCAAGACUGAUGAUUCUUUGCUCAGCAUUGAUGGAGUACUUCCUGCAGAAGAUAGCUCCAAGACAAGACAAAUAAAUCUAUCACCUUGAGACGGAUUGGUAACUGUAACAACUGCAUUUGAUACGUACUGCUUUGAUCAGUUAUUUCUCUGAAUAUCAAAAGGAAAAGGAAAUAUAUAACACCCCUGACUCCUGUGCCAUCUCAAGAUCCAAGCAUCAGGUUUAUUCGGUAUAGGCCUUAGCAGUUUCCAUAUUCUGUUUUCUCUUUUCUGGACAGGAAUUGGGUUCCUGGAGGUAACAAUGCUAUUCUCAUUGUGUUUCUCUUUUCUGUUGCAAACUCACAACCGAUAGUCCGAUACAGAUGAUGUGAAUUUUUAUAUGGUAAAAAAUGCAGCAGUGGUUAUUAUUUUGGUGGACCAUAUGCUGUGCCAUCGUUGUGGCCUUAAUCAACAACACAGCUAAUGUGCUCAUGAAUUCGUAGAUAUGUGCAAUUCUAUGGACAAGGGCUGCAUUUUAUGAAUUUGGUGUGUAUAGUGCAUCAAUAUGAAACCAUAGGUUGAAUUGGAACAGUGACACUGUUGAGAAUUGAAAAAUGAUAAUGAGAUGAGGUAAUAACAAGGGAAACAACAAGCUACUAUGGUCCCGGGUGGAGAAGAAAUUACAGAGGCCUUAGUAUUAGGAAACAGCCAAACAUGGUUAGAACGAUCCGAGUAUAUCGAAACUAUUGGUUAAAAUACUUCAAAUAUUAAUCAACGUGGAAACUGCCGUAUAUACUAUAUACCAAUAUACUAUGAUGCAUUUUCUUUACACUAGACUUAUGGUUCGAGGUGCCAUUUCUGUAACUUUGUUUCAGUGUAGGUCAAAAUGCAAAUUAAGAUGCACACAUGUCUACAGAGAAAAAAGAAAAAAGAAAAAAGAAAAAAAAAAGCUAAGUAUUUGUACUCCAAACUAAAUAUGCUCAGCAGGUACUCUGAACUUGGAAUUUGUUAACUUAAAUGGUUAGAUGAGGUCAACAUAUAAGGAUUGCAGUAAUAUUGUCUUGCAUUCUGAACCCCAAUUAGGAGGUCUUAAUUAAACAUGUACAAGCCUUAGUUCCUGAAGUUCUAAUACCAGUAACGAUGGCCUAAUGCUUUGCUACCACUAUAAUGUUGUACCUACCUUCUCCAUUCAUUUCAGAAAAUAUGUGUGCCAUCUGCCAUAGGCUAUAGCUUAUAAAUCCAAGUACAUAUGCAUCAAACAAAUGCAUGUAGAUGUAAAGUAUUAAGCUUACUCACUAAAUUUUGUAAUUAAUUCCUAGCUUUUUUCCAUGUAAAGUGUUAGCCUUCUCUUUAGAAAACUGAAAGUUUCGGGCUUAUAUCAAUUUAUGGUUUGUUGGCUGGAUACUAUGCAAAAUGAAAUGCUUUCAGGAAAUUAAAUUAUUUUGAGGAAAAAAUGAACUCAGAAUAAAGUCAUCGUACUAUUGCAGGGUGCUAUGGUACAAAUAACCAUACCCAACAAAGUUGAAAAACAAUUUCGUCCACUGCUCUCUCUGGGUUAUGUCUACAUGUUGACAGAUGUUAGUGCUGUUCAUGCUACACACAAGAAAUUCAUUUACCACCGCCAAAGCUACAUGCUUCAGUUUAAAACAAGCUCAAAGGUCCGUCUAAUGCAAUCGCGAGGAGCGAGUAUUCCUCGAUUUGCCUUUGAUUUCUCACAGUUUGAUCAGCUUCCGUCAAAAGACAAUCAAUCCAAACCCCUGCUAGAUUUGAUUGGAGUCAUUAGCUACAUUGGCCUAUACGACUAUGCUAGCCCAACGUCUCAUUACAAGCUCAGGAAGAUACAUAUCUGUAACCAAGAUGAACAAACACAGGAAAUAAACCUUUGGGCGAGGAUGGUGAAACAUUUGACGAAAGCGUGGUCCUCUGCAAAUCGGAUGGGAAGAUUGUUGUUUGUGUUUUUGCUGGCCUAACCGUUGGAAAGUAUUUAGAUAAACUCGAGGCCUCUUCAAGUUCAGCUACCAAAAUAUACAUUGACAUGGAAAUACCAGAAGUUGAACAAUAUAACAAAAGGUCCAUCGAUACUUUUAUUACAAAUGGUUCACAUUCUUUUCCAUUAACUAACAUGCAAUCAUGCAUAUGUCUGCUUUCAAGCUAUCAAUGGAAAGUUCUAGUUUUGAGCCAGCAACAGCCUCAAAUUGCCCAUGUGACUCCCUUAAAGCAGCAGGCAAACUCUACAAGCUGGAAGAAAUAUCUACCCUGCCAAUUUCAUCUUUCGAGAACCGGAGAAAAGGCAUCUUCAGAUACCGGCAAGUGAUGCCAGGUUUAUAGGAGCAUCAAUAAUGCCAAAUGAUCACUUCGUGGACACCAACUCACAUCGUUAACAGACUUUGUUAGCUUUAUGUUGUAACGCUGUUACUUUGGAUAUGUUUUAGCACAAUGCUUUUGUUCUGUGACUGUUUGAGUAAUAAAAUGUUAGCCAAAUUCUGAAGUGUUUUGGCACAAUGCUUUUGUUCUGUAA
Molecule: long non-coding RNA, 3000 nt
Organism: Brachypodium distachyon (stiff brome)
Lineage: Eukaryota; Viridiplantae; Streptophyta; Magnoliopsida; Poales; Poaceae
Exons: 6
Source: RefSeq, a predicted model, not a curated record